This 1129-nucleotide long non-coding RNA is filed under the name Carica papaya (papaya). Its description in RNAcentral is "long non-coding RNA (CPAP_LNC013438)". The record is from RNAcentral. Lineage: Eukaryota; Viridiplantae; Streptophyta; Magnoliopsida; Brassicales; Caricaceae.
AUAGAAGAAGAAAUAUAUUUCCUUAGUUUAACUAGUAUGUUAUUUGACAUUUAAAAUUUUCCUGUUUAAACUAAUGUUUUAAAUCUAACCGAAGGUGUUAAUUUAGACAACAUGAAGUUAUGUUGUGGAAAUUUUACAUGGGUGUUAGCUCAUUGGUACCUUCUUUCUUUAAUACAAUUUCAACUGUUACAUUCAAAAAAAAAAAAAAAGAAAAAGUUACAUAUUGGAGAUUGACCCAAUUAAAAGUAGAGGGUGGAAAUUGAGUGUUGGUUAUAUUAAUUUCCCAUAAGAAAUUAUAUACUAUUACAUGAUCAAUUAAUAAAAUCUAUGUUUUAAUCAACUAACUUAUAUAUCUGUAACAUAUUUUAUUUCACAAAAUUUUAAAUUUCCGUGUACUUUUGGUUAAGAAAUCAUGAAGCUUCAUACUUCAAUUCUGUUCUAUCACUAUUUUAAACUCAUAAAUUAGUAAAAUUAUUUUCAGAUAUUUCAUUUCAUAAAUCUCCAUUUCAUAUAGAUAAUUUUAAUUAGUAUUCAUAUAAAACUACAUCCAUACUUGCAAUUGUUAUGCUAAUGGAGGAUAUAACGGUUAUAAAGAUAAAUAGCUGUAAUCCUGAUUCAUGACUCCUUGUGAAGUAUGAUCAUCGCUUGUUCAGUAUUUACAAUUCCAAAAUAAUUGAAGAUUUUGUAAAUUAAAAAAUGUAACAAGCCUUGUUCUUGUAAUAGCUAUUAUGUUCUGUGCAUAUACCUUAUGCUGCAAAAUAAGCAAGCUGUAAGCAGGUAGAAACAUGGGACUUCUACUUGUUCUUAGUUAUGGAUCUAAAAAUCUUUGUCUCAUAGUUUUUUCUUGAUGUGCAUUGCCCUUGUUUCUUUUUAUUAUGCUGGCCGAACAAUUUACCUUAAUGUUUUUGGCUUGGAAAUGGUUCUCCAAUGUUGGCUUUGAAAGAGAAACAGCCUGAUGGUUCAGUUUGCAAUCCAUGUUUAAUUGAUUCUCACUCUUAUUGGGAAUUUACUAAUUUUUUAAUAGUCUUGAUAAAUUUAAUUACAACAUAAAAUUUUUGUUUAAGCUGCUCCCAGGCCUCAUCGAAUUCUUUGUGUCUGGGAUUUCAGUUCCCAAAUCGUAAAGUGUUGU